AGAGUUUGAUCCUGGCUCAGGACGAACGCUGGCGGCGUGCCUAACACAUGCAAGUCGAACGGAGAAUUUCAAAGAGUUUACUUAGAGAAAUUUUUAGUGGCGCAGGUGAGUAACGCGUGGGUAACCUACCCAUAAAUCCGGGACAACCCUUGGAAACGAGGGCUAAUACCGGAUAAUCUUAAAGAGUGGCAUCACUUUUUAAGAAAAGGUGGCCUCUGAAAAUGCUACCGAUUAUGGAUGGACCCGCGUCUGAUUAGCUAGUUGGUGGGGUAAAGGCCUACCAAGGCGACGAUCAGUAGCCGGCCUGAGAGGGUGAACGGCCACACUGGGACUGAGACACGGCCCAGACUCCUACGGGAGGCAGCAGUGGGGAAUCUUCCGCAAUGGACGAAAGUCUGACGGAGCAACGCCGCGUGUAUGAUGAAGGUCUUCGGAUUGUAAAGUACUGUCUUUGGGGAAGAACAACAGGCUUGAAAAUAUUGAGCCAGCAUGACGGUACCCAAGGAGGAAGCCCCGGCUAACUACGUGCCAGCAGCCGCGGUAAUACGUAGGGGGCAAACGUUGUCCGGAAUUACUGGGCGUAAAGGGUGCGUAGGCGGUUUAUUAAGUCUAUGGUGAAAGUGCGGGGCUCAACCCCGUAUGGCCAUAGAAACUGGUAGACUUGAGUGCAAGAGAGGGCAAUGGAAUUCCAUGUGUAGCGGUAAAAUGCGUAGAUAUUUGGAGGAACACCAGUGGCGAAGGCGACUUCCUGGCCUGUAACUGACACUGAGGCGCGAAAGCGUGGGGAGCAAACAGGAUUAGAUACCCUGGUAGUCCACGCUGUAAACGAUGAGUGCUAGGUGUCGGGGGUAUCGACCCCCUCGGUGCCACAGCUAACGCAAUAAGCACUCCGCCUGGGGAGUACGGUCGCAAGACUGAAACUCAAAGGAAUUGACGGGGGCCCGCACAAGCGGUGGAGUAUGUGGUUUAAACCCAACGCGAAGAACCUUACCAAGGCUUGACAUCCCGUGACAGCUAUAGAAAUAUGGUCUUCUUAGUUUACUAAGACACGGAGACAGGUGGUGCAUGGUUGUCGUCAGCUCGUGUCGUGAGAUGUUGGGUUAAGUCCCGCAACGAGCGCAACCCCUACAGCCAGUUGCCAGCACAUAAUGGUGGGAACUCUGGCAGAACUGCCGUUGACAAAACGGAGGAAGGUGGGGAUGACGUCAAAUCAUCAUGCCCCUUAUGUCUUGGGCUACACACGUACUACAAUGGCCUGAACAGAGGGAAGCGAAACUGCGAAGUUAAGCGAAUCCCUUAAAACAGGUCCCAGUUCGGAUUGUAGGCUGCAACUCGCCUACAUGAAGUUGGAAUCGCUAGUAAUCGCAGGUCAGCAUACCGCGGUGAAUACGUUCCCGGGCCUUGUACACACCGCCCGUCACACCACGAAAGUCGGCAACGCCCGAAGCCAGUGACUCAACCGCAAGGAGAGAGCUGUCGAAGGUGAAGCCAAUGACUGGGGUGAAGUCGUAACAAGGUAACC
This 1522-nucleotide ribosomal RNA is filed under the name uncultured bacterium. Its description in RNAcentral is "16S ribosomal RNA". It matches the Rfam family "Bacterial small subunit ribosomal RNA". The record is from RNAcentral.